Molecule: ribosomal RNA, 2796 nt
Filed under: oral metagenome
Description: bacterial LSU rRNA
Rfam family: Bacterial large subunit ribosomal RNA
Source: RNAcentral
AGGGCUUAUGGUGGAUGCCUUGGGACUAGUAGGCGAUGAAGGUCGUGCAAAGCUGCGAUAUGCUACGGGUAGGUGCUAAGAACCGACAAUCCGUAGAUUACCGAAUGGGGCAACCCAGUACAAGUUAUGUUGUACUAUCAUUAUCUGAAUACAUAGGAUAAUGAAGCGAUACCUGGUGAAGUGAAACAUCUCAGUAGCCAGAGGAAAAGAAAACGAAUGUGAUUCCGUCAGUAGCGGCGAGCGAAAGCGGAACAGCCCAAACCGGUUUUGAACCGGGGUUGUAGGACUGCAAUGUGGACUUAAGAUUGAUAGAAGAAAUAGUUGGGAAGCUAUGCCACAGAGGGUGAAAGCCCCGUAUUCGAAAUCAAUCUUAUACCUAGCAGGAUCCUGAGUACGUCGGGACACGUGAAAUCUUGACGGAAGCUACCCAGACCAUUGGGUAAGGCUAAAUACUAACUAGUCACCGAUAGCGUAUAGUACCGUGAGGGAAAGGUGAAAAGAACCCAGAGAUGGGAGUGAAAUAGAUUCUGAAACCAUAAGCUUACAAGGGGUCGGAGCACAUUAAUGUGUGACGGCGUGCUUCUUGCAUAACGAGCCGGCGAGUUAUUGUCGCAUGCAAGGUUAAGUAGUAGAUACGGAGCCGUAGGGAAACCGAGUUUUAAUAGAGCGUUGAGUAUGUGGCAAUAGACCCGAAACGGGAUGAGCUAUUCAUGAGCAGGUUGAAGUUUGAGUAACAUCAAAUGGAGGACCGAACCCACUUUCGUUGAAACGACAGGGGAUGACUUGUGGAUAGAGGUGAAAUUCCAAUCGAAUUCCGUGAUAGCUGGUUCUCGUCGAUAUGAAUUUAAGUUCAGCGUCAGAUUAUUAGUUGUAUGGAGGUAAAGCACUGAAUGUACGAUGGCCCCACCUCGGGGUACUGAAUGCAAUUAAACUCUAAAUGCCGUACAACUUAUUCUGGCAGUGAGUCUGCGGGGGAUAAGCUUCGUAGACGUGAGGGGAAGAGCCCAGACCGUUAGCUAAGGUCCCUAAAAUGUGUUAAGUGGAAAAGGAUGUUGGAAUUCUUAAACAGCAAGGAUGUUGGCUCAGAAGCAGCCAUCGUUUAAAGAGUGCGUAACAGCUCACUUGUCGAGAGUUCCUGCGCCGAAGAUGUACCGGGGCUAAACACAUUACCGAAGCUACGGACUAGUGAUAGUGGUAGACGAGCGUUCUAUAUGGGGCGAAGCAAAACCGUGAGGAUUUGUGGACUGUAUAGAAGUGAGAAUGCCGGCAUGAGUAACGAAUGGAAGUGAGAAUCUUCCAAGCCGAUUGAUUAAGGUUUCCAGGGCAAGGGUCGUCCUCCCUGGGUUAGUCAGUACCUAAGGCGAGGCCGAAAGGCGUAGUCGAUGGAUGACAGGUCAAUAUUCCUGUACCUGCACAUGAAUGAUGGAGUGACAAAGGUGGUUAAGCGAGCCCAUUACUGGAUUUGGGCUUAAGUAGCAAGUUUUAUUCGUUGGCAAAUCCGCGAAGGUAUGGCGAGCUACAAAUACGAGUAAAAGCUUCGGCAAGUAGCGAAGUCGUGUAUAUCAACUUUCAAGAAAAGCUUCUAGUUUAUCAUGUGUAGACUGUACCGAGAACGAACACACGUAAUCAAGGAGAGUAUCCUAAGGCUAGCGAGUUAACUACAGUUAAGGAACUCUGCAAAUUAAUCCCGUAAGUUCGCGAGAAGGGAUGCUCAUAGCAAUAUGAGCCGCAGUGAAGAACGAGGGGGAACUGUUUAACUAAAACACAGCUCUAUGCUAAGUUGUAAAACAACGUAUAUGGGGUGACACCUGCCCAGUGCUGGAAGGUUAAAGAAGGAGGUUAGCAGCAAUGCGAAGCUUUCGACUGAAGCCCUAGUGAACGGCGGCCGUAACUAUAACGGUCCUAAGGUAGCGAAAUUCCUUGUCAGGUAAAUUCUGUCCCGCUUGAAUGGUGUAAUCAUCUCUUGACUGUCUCGACUGUAGACUCGGUGAAAUUCUGGUAUGGGUGAAUACGCCCAUUAGACGCAAUUGGAACGAAAGACCCCAUGAAGCUUUACUGUAGCCUGAUAUUGAAAAAAUUUGGUUCAUGUAGAGGAUAGGUAGGAGACUUUGAUGUAUAUUCGCUAGGAUAUGCGGAGUCAUCCUUGGAAUACUACCCUUGAAUUACAUUUUUUCUAACUUACUUGCUUGAAUCAGCAAAAAGGACAUUGUCAGGUGGGCAGUUUGACUGGGGCGGUCGCCUCCCAAAAGGUAACGGAGGCGCGCAAAGGUACCCUCAGCACAGUUGGAUAUUGUGUUUCGAGUGCAAUGGCAUAAGGGUGCUUGACUGCGAGACUUACAAGUCGAGCAGGUAGGAAACUAGGUCAUAGUGAUCCGGUGGUUUCAGUAUGGAAUGGCCAUCGCUCAACGGAUAAAAGCUACUCUGGGGAUAACAGGCUGAUACUGCCCAAGAGUUCACAUCGACGGCAGUGUUUGGCACCUCGAUGUCGACUCAUCUCAUCCUGGAGCUGUAGCAGGUUCCAAGGGUUCGACUGUUCGCCGAUUAAAGAGAUACGUGAGUUGGGUUCAAACCGUCGUGAGACAGGUUGGUCCCUAUCUGUUGCGUCUGUAGGAAGAUUGUGGAGAGCUGCUCCUAGUACGAGAGGACCGGAGUGGACAUACCUCUAGUGCUCCAGUUGUCACGCCCGUGGCACCGCUGGGUAGCUACGUAUGGAAUUGAUAAACGCUGAAAGCAUCUAAGCGUGAAACAAACUCCGAAACUAAUCUUCCCACCCUUUUUAGGGAUAAGGAUCGUUGU